This is a long non-coding RNA of Betta splendens (Siamese fighting fish), 1505 nucleotides long. Lineage: Eukaryota; Metazoa; Chordata; Actinopteri; Anabantiformes; Osphronemidae. The record is from Ensembl.
GUUCAAGAAGAGACACAAUGGGGUUUACGUCAAAAUUACUGAUAAUUACACUGGCCAUACUGCUUGUUACUGUACCUGUAACUAUAAGUGCUGAGAAUACAACAUCAACAACAACUGCUGAACCAACAACAACAACUGCGGAAUCAACAACAACUACUGGAACCUCAACAACUGCAGCAGUAACUACAACAACUGCAGCAACAACCACGACAACUGCUGAAUCAACAACAGCUGCAGCAGUAACUACAACAACUGCAGCAACAACCACAACAACUGCUGCAGGAACCACAACAACCGGUGCGGGAACCACAACAACUGCAGCAGUAACUACAACAACUGCAGCAACAACCACAACAACUGCUGAAUCAACAACAGCUGCAGCAGUAACUACAACAACUGCAGCAACAACCACAGCAACUGCUGCAACAACCACAACAACUGCUGCAGGAACCACAACAACCGGUGCAGGAACCACAACAACUGCAGCAGUAACUACAACAACUGCAGCAACAACCACAACAACUGCUGAAUCAACAACAGCUGCAGCAGUAACUACAACAACUGCAGCAACAACCACAGCAACUGCUGCAACAACCACAACAACUGCUGCAGGAACCACAACAACCGGUGCAGGAACCACAACAACUGCAGCAGUAACUACAACGACCGGUGCAGGAACCACAACGGCUGUUGCAGGAACCACAACGACUGUUGCAGGAACCACAACGACUGCUGCAGGAAACACAACUACUGCUGCAGGAAACACAACAACUGCAGCAGGAAACACAACAACUGCUCCAGGAACAAUAGCUACUACUGCUCAGCCACUCACUUCCAAUAAGUUCACUUUUAAAACCGAUGAGAUUUUUACCUCCGACUUACUGAAUUCAUCAUCUCCAGGAUAUAAAGCUCGAUCCACAAAAGUUAACAACACCUUUGACCCUUUCUUCAGAGCGAAAUUUCCCCAAUCAUAUCAUGGUCUGAAUGUGACUGGAUACGGAAAAGGAUCCAUAAUCAACAAUGUGACGGCGUUUUUCUUGUCUACAACUGCUCCCAGUAAUGAUCAAAUUCAAGCCUUUCUGAUUGAUAUAGCUAAAAACAUCACAGACUUUAACAUCACUGCAAUUUUCUUGGAUGUCACCCAAGCAUCAAGUGGAGUAAGCUACCAGACCAGUCUCAUCACUGCAUCCUUCAUGAUGCUGCUGUCAUGGCUGCUAUCAAACCAGCGAUAGUGCCAGUGCUACUCUCCAUGUGAAAUCAAAGAAUUACUGGCAUCUUCAAAUUUGGGAUGAUGACACACAAAGGUUGAACAGCAACUACACAUUUAGCUGACAGAUGUUACACAAGUUGUUUGUUUCCCUGUGACGUUCCAUGAAUCCCAUCCACUAAGGAAAACAAAUCAAACAACUAAAACAAUAUUAUUUUAAGUAGGUGUAGGUACAAAAGCUGUGUUUCAUGAUUGUUUUGCAUCAUGACUUAAUAAAAAAAUGUAAUUAUUAGACUCA